RNAcentral lists this small RNA (120 nucleotides) under Vibrio spartinae. RNAcentral's name for it is "MtlS". Lineage: Bacteria; Pseudomonadati; Pseudomonadota; Gammaproteobacteria; Vibrionales; Vibrionaceae. The record is from RNAcentral.
UUCCCCGUUCGAUGUAUUAUUUGAUGUUGUUGUGUUGACGGCUCGGCAAAGCCGUGAGUUGAAUCGUUCUAAAUCAAUCUAGCACACAAUCUUUCAAUUCAACUGAGAGCGGGUUUUUUG